CUCGGCAACGGAUAUCUCGGCUCUCGCAUCGAUGAAGAACGUAGCGAAAUGCGAUACUUGGUGUGAAUUGCAGAAUCCCGUGAACCAUCGAGUCUUUGAACGCAAGUUGCGCCCGAAGCCACUCGGCCGAGGGCACGUCUGCCUGGGCGUCACGCAUCGCGU
Molecule: ribosomal RNA, 162 nt
Filed under: Centella asiatica (Asiatic pennywort)
Lineage: Eukaryota; Viridiplantae; Streptophyta; Magnoliopsida; Apiales; Apiaceae
Description: 5.8S ribosomal RNA
Rfam family: 5.8S ribosomal RNA
About the family: 5.8S ribosomal RNA (5.8S rRNA) is a component of the large subunit of the eukaryotic ribosome. It is transcribed by RNA polymerase I as part of the 45S precursor that also contains 18S and 28S rRNA.
Source: RNAcentral